GUCACAUUCGCACAGAGUCUCCAGUUGAAUUCCGUGGACGAACGUGACGGUGCGUUUGAUUAAUCUGCUUCCAUCCAACCUGAAAUAUGAAGUGUUUCGACUUUCACACACCAAGUUAUGACUUUGAAGCGGGCUGAAAACAUUUUACGGUGUUGUUCUGAAAAUCCUGCAGACCUUUCCAGCGAGGCUCAGCCUGCGGUGGCUCUGUCCUUUCCUGUUGUGUCUGCUAGAGAAAUGUGAGGCUGUUUGAGGCCCUGCUGUGACCCAUCAUGGCAGGGUUAUAGGUGGCUGGAUUGUGCAUUAAUCCACAGGAGCAGUGCAUGAAGGCUGGCCGCUGCCAUCAAUGGCGUAUGGGUCACCAGAUGUAACCAUGGCGGCUGGCUUCUUCAGCAAUGACUCAUAAGGAGUAGCACAUGAAUAUGGGCAGCUGCCAUCUUCAGUUCCUCUAUGGCGCGUGGACCACGAGUUGCAAAUAAGAUGCCAAGUGGCUGUCUCACACGUUCACCUGGACAUCUCUUAACUGUACACGGCGCUGCUUCCAGAGGAAAGCUCUCCAGUCAUCGUGCGGAUGGUUGUUGUUGCUCAAAGCGCCAGAGAUUUAAGAGUCUGACUUCACAGAUUGGACGAAAUCUGCAGAGAACAAAAGAGCCGGAGAACCAGUUGAUCGAGCAAAAGAAAUAAAGAUUAAAAUAUUAUUUUUAUUGCACUGCUUUAGUAAUGUACAGGUUGACUGUCGUUUGAAGCACUUGUUGGUUAAGUUGACUUGCAGAUUUUGUGGUUUAAUGUGGAAAGAAUCUGUGACACUAAAGAAACUAGAAAAAUGUAUUGCACAGAGAUAAAUCGAUUAUAAUCUGUUACAAAUUUAAACACAUGAAAGUGUUUGACCAGCUGAAAUUAAUACUAGAGAAACAUUAAAAUAAAAUAAUGAAAAUGGA
Oreochromis aureus is the source of this 935-nucleotide long non-coding RNA. RefSeq lists it as uncharacterized. NCBI's taxonomy places the organism in Eukaryota, Metazoa, Chordata, Actinopteri, Cichliformes, Cichlidae. The record is from RefSeq and is a predicted model, not a curated record. The transcript is spliced from 7 exons.